CACAAGCCUUCAUAGCCCUCUGGGGCUGGCAUUUCUGUGAAUUCUGUCAAGUUCAUUCCUGUUCCUCAGGCUCACCCCUUCACAAGUGCUUGCUUGCCCUGCAUGCCUGGAAUGACGGAAGGACAUCAGCUCUGCAGGAUAACUUUCCAGUGACUUUUUUCUAGAAUUUUCCUGGGCCAGUGUGAUAUCAUAUUUACGUUUGUACAACAUACCAUUAAAGGGGUAGACCCAGUUGGUGGAAGCCAGUCAGUCCAUCAUGUUUCCCUGGCCUCAGAACUGUUUCAUGGAAAACAAAAUCUUAUCCAAUCAGGAUGAAUAUGAGGCUUGGAGCAGCUGCAGUUGAGGGAAAGCCUGGAGCUCCCACAAGACCUGAAGCCAGACCCUGAGGCAGGAGCUAAGCCAAGGAAGUGUGGCUGGAGAAUGGAGCCUACUGAAGUCCAGCUGGUGAUGUGCUGAAGCUGGAACCUUUCCUGGCACUGGGGGGAAAUGCAGCUGCAGCCGCCUGGACUCGCUGCUCCCCAAGACUCGAUGCAGUCUGGCCCCCCGGCACAAUCUGGAGCUGAAGGUGAUUACCCUGGUUUGCCUGAGUCCAAACUUCCAAGGACAGGCGCUGAGAUGAAGGGCCGUGGGCGGAUUAUCAACAUCAAAGGUACCGUAAUCACACCACUGCAGGGUGCAGGAUGGACUGUAGGAGACCAAGCCUGGAAGACUGAACCUGAUGGGGUGGCUGCAGGGAGAAGCAAGGAGGUCCUGAAACAAGGUGAUGAGGAGAUAUGGAGAUACAGGAUUGACAGAGUACAGGACGAAGGGACAUCCUGUGACUCAGGUGUCAGGACAGAGGGACGCGACAAGAUAAUCAGAGGAGGCUUUGAGGGAAGUCUUCUGCAUGUGCACCCAGGGAGAUGUUUUCUCUGGGGGCCUUUAUUUUUCCUGUUGAAAUGUGAACCUUCGACUCUGAUCUGCCUUUUCAGUUAA
Molecule: long non-coding RNA, 975 nt
Filed under: Bos indicus x Bos taurus (hybrid cattle)
Lineage: Eukaryota; Metazoa; Chordata; Mammalia; Artiodactyla; Bovidae
Description: lncRNA (ENSBIXG00000025140.1)
Source: RNAcentral